This 74-nucleotide transfer RNA is filed under the name Ruaniaceae bacterium KH17. It matches the Rfam family "tRNA". Rfam says of the family: Transfer RNA (tRNA) molecules are approximately 80 nucleotides in length. Their secondary structure includes four short double-helical elements and three loops (D, anti-codon, and T loops). Lineage: Bacteria; Bacillati; Actinomycetota; Actinomycetes; Micrococcales; Ruaniaceae. The record is from Rfam by way of RNAcentral.
GCCCUCGUAGCCCAAUUGGCAGAGGCAGCCGACUUAAAAUCGGCAAAGUGCGGGUUCGAGUCCCGCCGGGGGCA